This 253-nucleotide ribosomal RNA is filed under the name uncultured bacterium. RNAcentral describes it as "partial 16S ribosomal RNA". It matches the Rfam family "Bacterial small subunit ribosomal RNA", at positions 524 to 776 of the family's 1533-position model. The record is from RNAcentral.
UACGUAGGGCGCAAGCGUUGUCCGGAAUUAUUGGGCGUAAAGGGCUCGUAGGCGGUCUGUCACGUCGAGAGUGAAAACUUACAGCUUAACUGUGAGCGUGCUUUCGAUACGGGCAGACUUGAGGCAUUCAGGGGAGAACGGAAUUCCUGGUGUAGCGGUGAAAUGCGUAGAUAUCGAGAGGAACACCUGCGGCGAAGGCGGGUUGCUGGGCUGAUACUGACGCUGAGGCGCGAAAGCCAGGGGAGCGAACGGG